RNAcentral lists this ribosomal RNA (492 nucleotides) under uncultured bacterium. RNAcentral's name for it is "partial 16S ribosomal RNA". It matches the Rfam family "Bacterial small subunit ribosomal RNA", at positions 29 to 507 of the family's 1533-position model. The record is from RNAcentral.
AUUGAACGCUGGCGGCAUGCUUUACACAUGCAAGUCGAACGGUAACAGGCCUUCGGGUGCUGACGAGUGGCGAACGGGUGAGUAAUGCAUCGGAACGUGCCCAGAGGUGGGGGAUAACGCAGCGAAAGCUGUGCUAAUACCGCAUGUGAUCUGAGGAUGAAAGCGGGGGACCAGGCAGCAAUGUUUGGCCUCGCGCCUUUGGAGCGGCCGAUGUCAGAUUAGGUAGUUGGUGGGGUAAAGGCCUACCAAGCCGACGAUCUGUAGCUGGUCUGAGAGGACGACCAGCCACACUGGGACUGAGACACGGCCCAGACUCCUACGGGAGGCAGCAGUGGGGAAUGUUGGACAAUGGGCGCAAGCCUGAUCCAGCAAUGCCGCGUGCGGGAAGAAGGCCUUCGGGUUGUAAGCCGCUUUUGUACGGAACGAAAAGGCUCUGGCUAAUACCUGGGGCUGAUGACGGUACCGUAAGAAUAAGCACCGGCUAACUACGUG